UGGGGAAUUUUGGACAAUGGGCGCAAGCCUGAUCCAGCAAUGCCGCGUGCAGGAUGAAGGCCUUCGGGUUGUAAACUGCUUUUGUACGGAACGAAACGGCUCUGGUUAAUACCUGGGGCUAAUGACGGUACCGUAAGAAUAAGCACCGGCUAACUACGUGCCAGCAGCCGCGGUAAUACGUAGGGUGCGAGCGUUAAUCGGAAUUACUGGGCGUAAAGCGUGCGCAGGCGGUUAUAUAAGACAGAUGUGAAAUCCCCGGGCUCAACCUGGGACCUGCAUUUGUGACUGUAUAGCUAGAGUACGGUAGAGGGAGAUGGAAUUCCGCGUGUAGCAGUGAAAUGCGUAGAUAUGCGGAGGAACACCGAUGGCGAAGGCAGCCUCCUGGGCCAGUACUGACGCUCAUGCACGAAAGCGUGGGGAGCAAACA
This 427-nucleotide ribosomal RNA is filed under the name uncultured bacterium. Its description in RNAcentral is "bacterial SSU rRNA". It matches the Rfam family "Bacterial small subunit ribosomal RNA", at positions 355 to 774 of the family's 1533-position model. The record is from RNAcentral.